Molecule: ribosomal RNA, 253 nt
Filed under: uncultured bacterium
Lineage: Bacteria
Description: partial 16S ribosomal RNA
Rfam family: Bacterial small subunit ribosomal RNA
Source: RNAcentral
UACAGAGGUCUCAAGCGUUGUUCGGAAUUACUGGGCGUAAAGGGUGCGUAGGUGGCGUGGAAAGUCAGAUGUGAAAUCCGGGGGCUCAACCUCCGAAUUGCAUCCGAUACUCCCAUGCUAGAGCACUGGAGGGGAGUCUGGAAUUCUCGGUGUAGCAGUGAAAUGCGUAGAUAUCGAGAGGAACACUAGUGGCGAAGGCGAGUCUCUGGACAGUUUCUGACCCUGAUGCACGAAAGCCAGGGUAGCGAACGGG